GGGGCCAUAACAAGAUUUCACUGUUAAAAGAUGUAAUUUUUGUAAUUUUAAGAUAUGGUGAGGACGUAAAAUCCGUUAAUAAAAUCGUUAACAUUUGUUUCAAGCUGCUUGAAAAGCAAUCUUGUCAGUGGCGGAUUCAGAGGGGGGCGUAGAAGGCGUACUUUGCUCGGACUUUUUUUUUAUUUUUUUGGUAAAAUGAUUAAUCAGACUAGACUUCGUGAACUUUGCCAUUUCCCGUGUUCUCUUUGUUUUAUUUUUAUGUGACAAUUCUUUAAUUAUAAAGAGUUUUUUCGCUGGAAUCUACUGAUUAUCAAAGUCAUGUGUCUGUGAUUCGCUAUGGUGGAGUUUACCAGUGCAUCGAAAAAACCGUCGUCAUUUUAAUAUGCAAAUUAUAGUAACACAUUGCUUUUGCUGAGGAUGACAAUCAUGACACCUUCAAAGCGACACAGGAUAGAGCUAGAACGUAUUGACUUCUAUUUCAUUAUUCCACCAAACAGAAAGUAAU
RNAcentral lists this long non-coding RNA (505 nucleotides) under Mytilus galloprovincialis (Mediterranean mussel). The record is from RNAcentral. Lineage: Eukaryota; Metazoa; Mollusca; Bivalvia; Mytilida; Mytilidae.